GUCUAGCAGUUCUAUUAUAGGCUCUUAGUUUGAGUAUAGUCAUGGUUUCAUGGUGGUUUUUUUUUUUUUUGUUGAAGCUUAAAGGAGAGUUUACGUUAUUCUCUUAUGGUGCUCCAUCAUCAGAUGAAGCUGCCAGCAUGAUCUUAAUUUCCCUCUGUUUUAUCGAGGAAAAAUCAGAUCAUGUGGCAGUUUCACCUGUUGCUGCUUGCACCCCCAAAAAAAACAAACCCUAAUUUCUCUAAGAUGAAACCCUAAUUCCCACUCCUUUCUCUCUCUCCUUUUUUGGUUCACCGCCAUUACUGUUUUCUCUCAAUCUCUAGAAAAGCAGUUUCUUGAAACUUUUGCACUGGAAAUGAUGCUGUUUUCGAUGAUUUCAAGAUCCUGCUUUGGUGAUUGAGCCUUCUUAGGUAUCAUCUGUGAACAUUCCAUACGGUUUCCACUGUUUGAUUGCUUUUAACAUAUGGCUGUAUCUCAAUUUUUGUUAGUACCCCAAUUUUGUUAUAAGAUCUGUUUGGUUUUAUAUUUGUUCUUGGGAUUCUCAGCUUUUUUUUCCUCUCUUAUACUAAUAAUUUUGGAAUUUAAUUCUACUUUAUUCAUGUAGCUUUAGCUAGGGCCUUUUUCUGAAAGUGGGGAUUUCUUUCAAAUCCCUGGCAGAUUUGCAAAAUCAGAGAGAAAUUAAGAGAUCAUAAUUCACAAUUGCGAUAAACACGACAUUAAUAUCAUUAGUUUGUGGUUUUGGUUGUUCUUGUCUUUGUUAUUCAUAAUUGCGAUAAACAUGAUGCAACCGAAAACGUGUGGAUGUGAACCUGCAUUUCUUCUUAUGAAUCAGAGAUAUAGUAAUCUUACUAUAGGCAUAGGUUAUAUGAAGAAUUUCAACUUAAAACUUGUUAAUAGACCUAAUAUUUUGUUGCCUAUCUCUCUUUAAGCUUGAGCUUAUUCCUUUUUGCUUCUUGAUCUUAGUGCAACUUCAAAGUCCCAAAGAACAUAUAAGCAAUUUAUUUGAAAAUACAUAGUGAAAACAUCAUCUUGGGAGCCAAAAUAUGAAACAUGUUUCUCAAAUGGAAGAAUAAUUUUGAAGUUCUUAGUUACUUUAUUGGAAGAGUAUGAGCUCUUUCACUCUUUUUUCUCUCUCUAUCUAUCUGAGGUGUUGCUUUCUUUUCCAUCUGUUUUCCAUGUUGGAAUUUGGUCUUAUUCUUCUUAAUGUUGACAAGAUUCCAUGCAGCUCUCGUAUUUCCUUAAGUAUAAAAAAUACCUAGAAAUGGUAUUAGUUUUUGAACUCUUUCCCCCAGAGCUUUUUUUUUUCUUUUCUUAUGUCAGCUAUCAUUCAUGCAUGAAGAAAAACUAAGUGACUAAGAGAGUGGUUCAUUGAUACUUGUUUACGUUCCAUUUAAAGAUUGUUCUUGGGAAAUUAGCCCCCCACAUAAAAGCUAUGUUCUUUAAAGAAAUGUAUCAAACUUCAUUCUCUGAUAGAGAAAUAUCGAUAAAAGAAGUAGGUGAGAUAGCUGCCCGUUUUUGUCUAGGGUGGCCCCAAAGCUGUUUUUGGUCCCUAGCUAGGUAAGCUUUCCUACACCUGGAUGAUUUAUUUCCCCCCUAACGGUAACCCGGGGGUUUGUGUUUCAUGUCGUGUUAUUGGUUUUUCUUUUUUAUGUUAUAAUCGUGUUUAGAUGUUUACUGUUAAUUAUCAGUAUCCCGAGGGUUUUUCAUAUAAUUUUGCUUAGGGUCUGUUUGGGUCUCAGGAGGAAAAGCAAAGGAUGAUUUCCAGUUGGGUGCUUAACUCAGUGCAUUGAACAAAACUGAAAAGCCUUUUGAUUUGUUCGAUUGUUUUUUUGUUCAAAAGCUUGUUUGAUUUUUUGUGCAUUAUUACUUGUAUAUAUAUACGUAUAUGUAUAUGUUUUUUUUUUCUGUGUGUGUCAUCCCUGAUAUGUCAGAUAAAUAUUAAGGGUAUCUGAGAUCUCUCUCUCUCUCUCA
This is a long non-coding RNA of Gossypium raimondii (Peruvian cotton), 1968 nucleotides long. RefSeq lists it as uncharacterized. The record is from RefSeq and is a predicted model, not a curated record. NCBI's taxonomy places the organism in Eukaryota, Viridiplantae, Streptophyta, Magnoliopsida, Malvales, Malvaceae. The transcript is spliced from 2 exons.